UACAGAGACUGCAAGCGUUAUUCGGAUUCACUGGGCGUAAAGGGUGCGCAGGCGGUUGGGUGUGUCAGAUGUGAAAUCCCGAGGCUUAACCUCGGAACUGCGUCUGAAACUACUCGACUAGAGUACUGGAGAGGGAAACGGAAUUCACGGUGUAGCAGUGAAAUGCGUAGAUAUCGUGAGGAACACCAGAGGCGAAGGCGGUUUCCUGGACAGUUACUAGACGGCUCAGGCACGAAGCAUGGGGAGCAAAAGGG
This 254-nucleotide ribosomal RNA is filed under the name uncultured bacterium. RNAcentral's name for it is "partial 16S ribosomal RNA". It matches the Rfam family "Bacterial small subunit ribosomal RNA", at positions 524 to 776 of the family's 1533-position model. The record is from RNAcentral.